This 227-nucleotide ribosomal RNA is filed under the name uncultured bacterium. RNAcentral describes it as "partial 16S ribosomal RNA". It matches the Rfam family "Bacterial small subunit ribosomal RNA", at positions 15 to 230 of the family's 1533-position model. The record is from RNAcentral.
GAUCCUGGCUCAGGAUGAACGCUAGCUACAGGCUUAACACAUGCAAGUCGAGGGGCAGCAUGGUCUUAGCUUGCUAAGGCCGAUGGCGACCGGCGCACGGGUGAGUAACACGUAUCCAACCUGCCGUCUACUCUUGGACAGCCUUCUGAAAGGAAGAUUAAUACAAGAUGGCAUUUUCAUGAGUUCGCAUGUUCACAUGAUUAAAGGUAUUCCGGUAGACGAUGGGG